This 466-nucleotide ribosomal RNA is filed under the name uncultured bacterium. RNAcentral describes it as "bacterial SSU rRNA". It matches the Rfam family "Bacterial small subunit ribosomal RNA", at positions 30 to 490 of the family's 1533-position model. The record is from RNAcentral.
AUUGAACGCUGGCGGCAUGCCUUACACAUGCAAGUCGAACGGCAGCGGACCUUCGGGUGCCGGCGAGUGGCGAACGGGUGAGUAAAGUAUCGGAACGUACCUUUCAGUGGGGGAUAACUGUCCGAAAGGACAGCUAAUACCGCAUAUUCUGUGAGCAGGAAAGCAGGGGAUCGCAAGACCUUGCGCUGAUUGAGCGGCCGAUAUCAGAUUAGCUAGUUGGUGAGGUAAAGGCUCACCAAGGCGACGAUCUGUAGCGGGUCUGAGAGGAUGAUCCGCCACACUGGAACUGAGACACGGUCCAGACUCCUACGGGAGGCAGCAGUGGGGAAUUUUGGACAAUGGGGGCAACCCUGAUCCAGCCAUGCCGCGUGAGUGAAGAAGGCCUCGGUUGUAAGACUCUUCGUCCGGGAGGAAUACGCGACAGGAGUAAUAACCCUGUGUGGAUGACGGUACCGGACGUAAGAAG